This 460-nucleotide ribosomal RNA is filed under the name uncultured bacterium. Its description in RNAcentral is "partial 16S ribosomal RNA". It matches the Rfam family "Bacterial small subunit ribosomal RNA", at positions 338 to 795 of the family's 1533-position model. The record is from RNAcentral.
CCUACGGGUGGCUGCAGUGAGGAAUAUUGGUCAAUGGCCGGAAGGCUGAACCAGCCAUGCCGCGUGAAGGUCAGUGCACUAUGGGCGUUAAACUUCUUUUGUGCGGGAGCAAUAAUGGUCACGUGUGGCCAGACGAGAGUACCGUACGAAUAAGCAUCGGCUAACUCCGUGCCAGCAGCCGCGGUAAUACGGGGGGUGCAAGCGUUAUCCGGAUUUAUUGGGUUUAAAGGGGGCGUAGGCUGUGAAGUAAGUCAGCGGUGAAAUGCCCCCGCUCAACGGGGUGAAGUGCCAUUGAUACUGGCUGGCUGGAGUGCGGAUGAGGUAGGAGGAAUGUGUGGUGUAGCGGUGAAAUGCAUAGAUAUCACGCAGAACACCGAUUGCGAAGGCAUCUCACGAAUCCGCGAUUGACGCUGAUGCACGAAAGCGUGGGUAUCAAACAGGAUUAGAUACCCCAGUAGUC